UACGGAGGGUGCGAGCGUUGUUCGGAAUCACUGGGCGUAAAGGGCGUGUAGGCGGUCCGCUAAGUCUGAUGUGAAAGCCCGGGGCUCACCCCCAGAAGGGCAUUGGAAACUGGCGGACUCGAGUCCCGGAGAGGAAGGUGGAAUUCCUGGUGUAGCGGUGAAAUGCGUAGAUAUCAGGAGGAAUACCGGUGGCGAAGGCGGCCUUCUGGACGGUGACUGACGCUGAGACGCGAAAGCGUGGGGAGCAAACAGG
RNAcentral lists this ribosomal RNA (253 nucleotides) under uncultured bacterium. Its description in RNAcentral is "partial 16S ribosomal RNA". It matches the Rfam family "Bacterial small subunit ribosomal RNA", at positions 524 to 776 of the family's 1533-position model. The record is from RNAcentral.